This 1153-nucleotide long non-coding RNA is filed under the name Homo sapiens (human). RNAcentral describes it as "HSALNT0338053". Lineage: Eukaryota; Metazoa; Chordata; Mammalia; Primates; Hominidae. The record is from RNAcentral.
CGGAGUUUCACUCUGUCACCCAGUCUGGUGUGCAGUGGCACGAUCUCAGCUCACUACAACCUCCGCCUCCCAGGUUCAAGCAAUUCUCCUGCCUCAGCCUCCUGACUGGCUGGGACUACAGGUGCGUGCCACUACACCCAGCUAUUUUUUGCAUUUUUAGUAGAGACAGGGUUUUGCCACGUUGACCAGGCUGGUCUCGAACUCCAGACCUCAGGUGAUCUGACCGCCUCAGCCUCCCAAACUGCUGGGAUUAUAGGCAUGAGCCACUGCACCCACCUGUCAGGCCUCUGAGCCCAAGCUAAGCCAUCAUAUCCCCUGCCACCUGCACGUAUACAUCCAGAUGGCCUGAAGCAACUGAAGAUCCACAAAAGAGGUGAAAAUAGCCUUAACUGAUGACAUUCCAAAAUUGUGAUUUGUUUCUGCCCCACCCUAACUGAUCAAUGUACUUUGUAAUCUCCCCCACCCUUAAGAAGGUUCUUUAUAAUCUCCCCGACCCUUAAGAAGGUUCUUUGUAAUUCUCCCCACCCUUGAGAAUGUUCUUUGUGAGAUCCACCCCCUGCCCACAAAACAUUGCUCCUAACUCCACCGCCCAUCCCAAAACCUCUAAGAACCAAUGAUAAUCCCACCGCCCUUUGCAGACUCUCUUUUCAGACUCAGCCCGCCUGCACCCAGGUGAAAUAAACAGCCUUGUUGCUCACACAAAGCCUGUUUGGUGGUCUCUUCACACGAAUGCGUGAGACAUUUGGUGCCAAAGACCUGGGUCAGAGGGACUCCUUCAGGAGACCAGUCCCUUGUCCUCACCUUCACUCCGUGAAGAGAUCCACCUAUGACCUCAGGUCCUCAGACCAACCAGCCCAAGGAACAUCUCACCAAUUUCAAAUUGGCUCCUAAGAUCAGUGCUUGAGAUAUUUGCAGACCCUGCACUUGAUGGAUCAGCUGACACCACCCAGAUGGAUUAACUGGCUCAUCUGAUCUUGUGGUUCCCACCAAGGAACUGACUCAGAGCAAGAAGACAGCUUUGACUCCCUGUGAUUUUACCCCUGACCAAUCAGCACCCCCGGCUCACUGGCUUCCCCCAUCCACCAAGCUGUCCUUAGAAACUCUGCUCCCAGAAUGCUGGGGGAGACUGAUUUGAGUAACAAUAAAACUCUGG